UCAUCCCUGAAAUUCCAGUGGUUACACUCUUGUAUGUUCUCUUUACCGCUGGAUUGUCAUGACGCAAAUCAAAUGCUCGGUAAUCUCCACCUUGCUGAUGAUACAAGAACACAAGUUUGAUCAUUUGAUAUACAUCAAAAGAAUCCCGCAGAAGCUUAACGGUAAAACUGAAGUCAGGUGUCACUCCUCGGUAAUCUUUAAAGACAGGUAUCGGCCUAGUGAUUGGUCAGUUUUGCUAUUUUACCAGAAAGCAAUCCAAUAACUAGCCGUGUGCCUUCUAUUUUUGCGUGACAUUUUCCGUGUGAGCAGAGAAUACGUGUGAGCUUGACCCCUAGAACUGCGAGGACGAUGGAGUAUGAGUGUGUAGCAGAACCGGAAUGGGUUGAUCAUCAUCAGCGACCAGAGAGCUCAAUUGUUAGAGCGUCUGUCUACAGUUUGGAGGAUCCAAGCUUACCUCCGAGGCUUGCAUCGACAGUGGCGUAAUCGUACUCGCACUGCUGGCAGUGCUACUGGUAUCCCCGCCACUAGAGGUU
This is a long non-coding RNA of Mizuhopecten yessoensis (Yesso scallop), 533 nucleotides long. RefSeq lists it as uncharacterized. The transcript has 3 exons. The record is from RefSeq and is a predicted model, not a curated record. NCBI's taxonomy places the organism in Eukaryota, Metazoa, Mollusca, Bivalvia, Pectinida, Pectinidae.